RNAcentral lists this ribosomal RNA (446 nucleotides) under uncultured bacterium. RNAcentral describes it as "bacterial SSU rRNA". It matches the Rfam family "Bacterial small subunit ribosomal RNA", at positions 330 to 793 of the family's 1533-position model. The record is from RNAcentral.
CCCAGACUCCUACGGGAGGCAGCAGUGGGGAAUAUUGCACAAUGGGGGAAACCCUGAUGCAGCGACGCCGCGUGAGUGAAGAAGUAUUUCGGUAUGUAAAGCUCUAUCAGCAGGGAAGAAAAUGACGGUACCUGACUAAGAAGCCCCGGCUAACUACGUGCCAGCAGCCGCGGUAAUACGUAGGGGGCAAGCGUUAUCCGGAUUUACUGGGUGUAAAGGGAGCGUAGACGGAUGGAUAAGUCUGAAGUGAAAGCCCGCGGCUCAACUGCGGGACUGCUUUGGAAACUGUGCAUCUUGAGUACGGGAGGGGCAGGCGGAAUCCCUGGUGUAGCGGUGAAAUGCGUAGAUAUCAGGAGGAACACCGGCGGCGAAGGCGGCCUGCUGGACCGAAACUGACGUUGAGGCUCGAAAGCGUGGGGAGCAAACAGGAUUAGAUACCCCAGUAU